GCGGCUUCUUUGCUGGUCUAUUCCGGGCACGACAACAUCGCUCAAAUGUUGCAACGCAGCGCAAGAACCGUCCAAGGAAAUCGCUCAUGGCCUAUGAAUUCGCCAAAGUGGACCGCAAAGGUCCGCUGACCAUCAUCACGCUCAAUCGCCCCGAGGUAAUGAACGCCGUGCAUUCGCCGAUGCAUUUUGAGAUGCAUCGCGUUUUUGACGAGUUCAACAACGAUCCCGACCAGUGGAUCGCGAUCGUCACCGGCGCGGGCGACCGG
This 266-nucleotide unclassified non-coding RNA is filed under the name Hevea brasiliensis (rubber tree). Lineage: Eukaryota; Viridiplantae; Streptophyta; Magnoliopsida; Malpighiales; Euphorbiaceae. The record is from RNAcentral.